UGGGGAAUUUUGGACAAUGGGCGAAAGCCUGAUCCAGCGACGCCGCGUGAGUGAAGAAGGCCUUCGGGUUGUAAAGCUCUUUCGUUGGGGAAGAUAAUGACGGUACCCAAAUAAGAAGCUCCGGCUAACUUCGUGCCAGCAGCCGCGGUAAUACGAAGGGAGCUAGCGUUACUCGGAAUCACUGGGCGUAAAGCGUGCGUAGGCGGCUUUGCAAGUCAGGAGUGAAAGCCUGGGGCUUAACCUCAGAACUGCUCUUGAAACUGCAAGGCUAGAGUGUCAUAGGGGGUGGCGGAAUUUCUAGUGUAGAGGUGAAAUUCGUAGAUAUUAGAAGGAACACCGGUGGCGAAGGCGGCCACCUGGAUGACAACUGACGCUGUUGCACGAAAGCGUGGGGAGCAAA
This 400-nucleotide ribosomal RNA is filed under the name uncultured bacterium. RNAcentral's name for it is "bacterial SSU rRNA". It matches the Rfam family "Bacterial small subunit ribosomal RNA", at positions 355 to 772 of the family's 1533-position model. The record is from RNAcentral.